GACGAACGCUGGCGGCGUGCUUAACACAUGCAAGUCGAACGGAAAGGCCCUUCGGGGUACUCGAGUGGCGAACGGGUGAGUAACACGUGGGUGAUCUGCCCUGCACUUUGGGAUAAGCCUGGGAAACUGGGUCUAAUACCGAAUAGGACCACGCGCUUCAUGGUGUGUGGUGGAAAGCUUUUGCGGUGUGGGAUGGGCCCGCGGCCUAUCAGCUUGUUGGUGGGGUAAUGGCCUACCAAGGCGACGACGGGUAGCCGGCCUGAGAGGGUGACCGGCCACACUGGGACUGAGAUACGGCCCAGACUCCUACGGGAGGCAGCAGUGGGGAAUAUUGCACAAUGGGCGCAAGCCUGAUGCAGCGACGCCGCGUGAGGGAUGACGGCCUUCGGGUUGUAAACCUCUUUCAAUAGGGAUGAAGCGCAAGUGACGGUACCUAUAGAAGAAGCACCGGCCAACUACGUG
RNAcentral lists this ribosomal RNA (462 nucleotides) under uncultured bacterium. Its description in RNAcentral is "partial 16S ribosomal RNA". It matches the Rfam family "Bacterial small subunit ribosomal RNA", at positions 28 to 507 of the family's 1533-position model. The record is from RNAcentral.